This 427-nucleotide ribosomal RNA is filed under the name uncultured bacterium. Its description in RNAcentral is "partial 16S ribosomal RNA". It matches the Rfam family "Bacterial small subunit ribosomal RNA", at positions 355 to 774 of the family's 1533-position model. The record is from RNAcentral.
GGGGGAAUAUUGCACAAUGGGCGCAAGCCUGAUGCAGCCAUGCCGCGUGUGUGAAGAAGGCCUUCGGGUUGUAAAGCACUUUCAGCGAGGAGGAAGGGUAGUGUGUUAAUAGCACAUUGCAUUGACGUUACUCGCAGAAGAAGCACCGGCUAACUCCGUGCCAGCAGCCGCGGUAAUACGGAGGGUGCAAGCGUUAAUGGGAAUUACUGGGCGUAAAGCGCACGCAGGCGGUUUGUUAAGUCAGAUGUGAAAUCCCCGCGCUUAACGUGGGAACUGCAUUUGAAACUGGCAAGCUAGAGUCUUGUAGAGGGGGGUAGAAUUCCAGGUGUAGCGGUGAAAUGCGUAGAGAUCUGGAGGAAUACCGGUGGCGAAGGCGGCCCCCUGGACAAAGACUGACGCUCAGGUGCGAAAGCGUGGGGAGCAAACA